AUCAUACUCCCUCCGUCCGAAAAUACUUGUCAUCAAAAUGAACAAAAGGGGAUGUAUCUAGAUGUAUCUUAGUUUUAGAAACAUCUCUUUUUAUCCAUUUUGAUGACAAGUAUUUUCGGACGGAGGGUGUAUAUG
Molecule: non-coding RNA, 135 nt
Organism: Triticum aestivum (bread wheat)
Lineage: Eukaryota; Viridiplantae; Streptophyta; Magnoliopsida; Poales; Poaceae
Source: Rfam